RNAcentral lists this microRNA (18 nucleotides) under Sus scrofa (pig). RNAcentral describes it as "ssc-mir88". Lineage: Eukaryota; Metazoa; Chordata; Mammalia; Artiodactyla; Suidae. The record is from RNAcentral.
GCGCCGCGCGCGUGCGCG